UUAGAAAGAUUUUUUUCCUUUUUAUAUUUUUUAGAUAGCUUUAUUAUCAUUAGAUUAACAAUAUUAAAAAAAGAAAUUUUGAUUUUGAAUUCAGAAAGGACGACAUCUUGAAAUUCAUCAAGUGACCUACUUGGGAGGAUAUUUUAAAUCUGAAUUUUUGGUAACCACCUUAUAAUCUCACUAAGUGAUUGUUCUUAAAAAACAAAAGAAAAAAUUUGAAAUUUGAGUCUUUUGACACUUAGAUCUCACCCUCUAAAAUUGGACAGUUUCUAUUCAAUCUCGAGACAUUGAUUUUUUCAUCGGCUUUGAGGAUGCAAUUAAGAACUUUUUUUUAUUGAGUUAGUGUGUGUUAAAGAGGCUAUAUCCACAAAUUUUGGGGUCCUAAGCAUAAUCCUAGGUAGGGUUUUACCCGAGGGAGUAAAUGGACGUUAUACUCAUGAGGCAGUAGAAUAUCUUUGGGGUACACACACAUGGUUAUUCUAGAAUUCAUCAUACUUUGUGAACUUAUAAUAUCCUAUCCCAAAUUUUUGAACCAUAAAAUGGCUUUAUAUCUUUAAAAAUGACUUUUGACCAUAAAUAACUCAUAUUUUAGGAAGGGUAUUUUUAUCUUUUUAAAAUUCAUCCAAAAGUUUUUUUCAAAUUUUAAAAGAUUCUUUCGACUUUGGGAUGAUGAUUAGAUUUAAAAACAAGUUACAAAUAUAAAUAUGCCCUAAUGUAAAAUUUUCAAAACAAGCUAUUUCGAGCGUAAUUUAAGUAUUUAUAAGGGUAUUUUAUGGUCCAAAAUUUUAAAAUAUAAUAUUAUGAGUAUAUAUAUAUAGCAGUGAUUUCAUGUAACGAUUGUAUCAUAGUAUAAUGCAACGACACUUCUAGAAAAUCAU
This 878-nucleotide long non-coding RNA is filed under the name Amborella trichopoda. RNAcentral's name for it is "long non-coding RNA (ATRI_LNC005076)". Lineage: Eukaryota; Viridiplantae; Streptophyta; Magnoliopsida; Amborellales; Amborellaceae. The record is from RNAcentral.